Molecule: ribosomal RNA, 431 nt
Filed under: uncultured bacterium
Lineage: Bacteria
Description: partial 16S ribosomal RNA
Rfam family: Bacterial small subunit ribosomal RNA
Source: RNAcentral
AACGAACGCUGGCGGCAUGCCUAACACAUGCAAGUCGAACGAGACCUUCGGGUCUAGUGGCGCACGGGUGCGUAACGCGGGGGAACCUGCCCUUAGGUUCGGAAUAACUCCCCGAAAGGGGUGCUAAUACCGGAUAAUGUCUUCGGACCAAAGAUUUAUCGCCUUUGGAUGGGCCCGCGUUGGAUUAGCUAGUUGGUAGGGUAAAAGCCUACCAAGGCGACGAUCCAUAGCUGGUCUGAGAGGAUGAUCAGCCACACUGGGACUGAGACACGGCCCAGACUCCUACGGGAGGCCGCAGUGGGGAAUAUUGGACAAUGGGCGACCGCCUGAUCCCGCCAUGCCGCGUGAGUGAUGAAGGCCUUAGGGUUGUACAGCUCUUUUACCCGGGAUGAUCAUGACAGUACCGGGAGAAUAAGCUCCGGCUCACUCCG